GUCUCUGUGGCGCAAUUGGUUAGCGCGUUCAGCUAUUAACCGGCAAGUUGGCGGUUCGAGCCCACCGAGGGACG
Gorilla gorilla gorilla (western lowland gorilla) is the source of this 74-nucleotide transfer RNA. It matches the Rfam family "tRNA". From Rfam's summary of the family: Transfer RNA (tRNA) molecules are approximately 80 nucleotides in length. The record is from Rfam. NCBI's taxonomy places the organism in Eukaryota, Metazoa, Chordata, Mammalia, Primates, Hominidae.